GGGGAGAUGCAGGAGUGGCUUAACUGGCACGCCUGGAGAGCGUGUAGGCUCAAAAGGCCUCGUGGGUUCAAAUCCCACUCUCCCCG
This 86-nucleotide transfer RNA is filed under the name Chloroflexota bacterium. RNAcentral's name for it is "Chloroflexi bacterium (groundwater metagenome) tRNA-Ser". It matches the Rfam family "tRNA". From Rfam's summary of the family: Transfer RNA (tRNA) molecules are approximately 80 nucleotides in length. Their secondary structure includes four short double-helical elements and three loops (D, anti-codon, and T loops). The record is from RNAcentral. Lineage: Bacteria; Bacillati; Chloroflexota.